GAUUUUUAUAUCGAUAUAAACAAUAAUGCAUGAGUCAAUUCCAGGAGUAACCAUCCCCCCCCCGGAACACACCCGGGCAUUUGAUUUGAUUGGUUAUGAUAGUGUAAAUGCCCGGGUGCCGGGACACAACUUGAAGACUAAUGCACGGCCCUUGGGCAAGCUGAGAGUGGAAAAUGCCCCACCCUGGAGACGAUUUUACAGUCGAUUUCACGAAACUUUGAUCACAAAUGUUCCGAACUUCGUUGCGAAGUUCACAAGCCAAUUUGUAAACAAAGUCCCUGAUUGGUCUGUGAAGUAAAAGAAGCCAAUCAAAUGCGUAGCUUACGAACCGGUUUGUGAAUCUCAUUAUGAACUUUUGAACUUCGCAACAAUCUUGUGAACUUCGCAACGAAGUUCGGAAAAUUUGUGGUCAAAGUUUCGUGAAAUCGACUGUAAACGUUAAU
Paramuricea clavata is the source of this 443-nucleotide non-coding RNA. NCBI's taxonomy places the organism in Eukaryota, Metazoa, Cnidaria, Anthozoa, Malacalcyonacea, Plexauridae. The record is from the annotation of a GenBank genome assembly.